GACGAACGCUGACGGCGUGCUUAACACAUGCAAGUCGAAGGGAGUGGCGAACGGGUGAGUAACACGUGAGUAACCUGCCCUUUUCUUUGGGCUAAGCCUGGGAAACUGGGUCUACUACUGGAUGGAUUGUGCUGGGCUCGCGGCUUAUCAGCGUGUUGGUGGGGUGAUGGCUUACCAAGGCUUUGACGGGUAGCCGGCGUGAGAGGGUGGUCGUUAACACUGGGACGGAGAUACGGCCCAGACGCGGACGCGGGGCAGCAUGUGGGGAUAUGGCACAAUGGGCGAAAGCCUGAUGCAGCGACGCCGCGUGGGGGAUGAAGGCUUUGGGGUUGUAACCCUCUUUCGCUAUCGAACGGGUAGUUGGAGAAGAAGCGCCGGCUAACUACGUGCCAGCAGCCGCGGUAAUAC
This 408-nucleotide ribosomal RNA is filed under the name uncultured bacterium. Its description in RNAcentral is "partial 16S ribosomal RNA". It matches the Rfam family "Bacterial small subunit ribosomal RNA", at positions 28 to 526 of the family's 1533-position model. The record is from RNAcentral.